GACGAACGCUGGCGGCGUGCUUAACACAUGCAAGUCGAACGGUGAAGCGCCUUCCUUUUUGGUGGGUGUGGAUGAGUGGCGAACGGGUGAGUAACACGUGAGUAACCUGCCCCCUUCUUCUGGAUAACCGCAUGAAAGUGUGGCUAAUACGGGAUAUUCUGGGUCUGUCGCAUGAUGGGUCUGGGACAGAUAUUGUUUCGGUUGGGGAUGGGCUCGCGGCGUAUUAGCUUGUUGGUGGGGUGAUGGCCUACCAAGGCGGCGAUGGGUAGCCGGCCUGAGAGGGGGGUCGGCGGUCCCAGAGGGGAGACGCGGCGGAGAAGACUCCGAGAGGAGGCAGCAGGGGGUAAUAUGGAAUGAUGGGAGCAAGGCUGGUGCAGCGACGCGGGGUGGGUGAUGGACUCCGUCGGGUUGUGAACCUCUUUCGGCAGUGAAGCAGGGUGGCAUCGUUUGUGGGUGGGUUGACGGUAGCUGGAUAGGAAGCGCCGGCUAACUACGUG
This 497-nucleotide ribosomal RNA is filed under the name uncultured bacterium. Its description in RNAcentral is "partial 16S ribosomal RNA". It matches the Rfam family "Bacterial small subunit ribosomal RNA", at positions 28 to 507 of the family's 1533-position model. The record is from RNAcentral.